ACCUGCCUGAAAUGUCCAUUCAACAACACCCACUAGCAAGGAUUCUACCUCUUCCCUCUGCUGCAGGGCUGUACCCCAAAGGAGAACAAGUCCUUCUUACUACAGCUGCAAGGAAGGGACCUUUCCCCUCCGUCAGCUGCCAGGUUGGCAGGCCUAAGAGACUGCAUCAAGGUACUGUCUUUAAAAAAACAAAACUUCCACUGAAUUCCCCAAAGGGACCUGAUCAGCCAACCAAGGAAGCCACGCUGAAGGCACAAGCAUGAACUGUACAGCUAAAGGUCUCGCCCAAGAGUCAAUGUCCCACAAAAUGCUGUGUGCGGAAAACAGGAAAUGCUGCAUGUGUGUACGCAGGGGAGAUCGCUGAGCGCUGCUUGGCAAUAGCUGUUAGGAAGUGCCUCUGUCCCCUGGAGGGUUUGCCAGUGUCAGAAGGAUGCAUGUUAGACAUCUCCAUCUCACCUGAGGGCAUAGAGGCAUCGAAUUGAAUGAUUGGCUAGAAAGGCUUCAUGUCUGCUCCACAGCACAGCAGAUGCUUGUGCCAAGCCUAGCCUUUAUCACACCCCGGCUGAAGCGUGUGUCCAUCUUAAUGCUAAAAUUGUAUACAGUGCUUGGUUCACACUGAAUGCUGUUUGUUGAUAGCAGUGCGGUGGGGAACGUCCGACCUUGGGGCCAGAUGCAGCCCUCUGGGCUCUUCUCAGGCCACAUCCCUCCUCAGGCCACACUCCCUCUUCCAGGCCACACCCCUCCCCCUCCAGCCACCUUGAGUGCUUCUGCCUGGCUUCUUGACAAUGCGUCAUAGAAUCAUAGAAUCAUAGAAUUGAUUCUAGAAUUGAUUCAAGUCUUUCUGCUUGGAUGGAGGACAAAGAGAAGGAUGUGUGUGUCUAUAGAACCUUCUGUGGGGAUGGAAUAUAGUCUUCUGUGGAAGGUAAAAGUCCCAUACAUUGCACCCCAAUCUUUCCCUCUGGCCCGCCCACUACGAUGUGGAUCUGCGUAGGAACCUCCCUGCGGAGUCAAGAACAGAAGAAGUGCCCUGCUGGAUCAGGCCAAUGACCCAUCUAGCCCAGGAUCCUGUUCCCACAGGGGCCAACCAGGGGCCUGUGAGAAACCAGCAAGCGGCACCCGAACACCAGAGCCCCUCUCCCCUCCUGUGGCUUCCAGCAGCUGGUCUUCAGAAGCAUGGCUGCGUCCGACUGUGGAGGCAGAGCAGAGCCAUCCUGGCUGAUAGCCAUCCCUAGUCUUGUCCUCCAUGAAUUUGCCUCAUCUUCUUUUAAAGCCCUCUAGGCUGCUGGCCAUCACUGCUUCCUGUGGCAGGGAGUUCCAUAGUUUAUGUGAUGCAUGAAGAAGUACUUUCUUUUAUCUGUUCCGAAUCUUCCAAAAUUCAGCUUCAUUGGAUGUCUGAAGAGUUUGGGGUUGCUUUGCUAUUAAAACAGAGCAAUGUAGGAUUUUUUUUAAUGAACCUUUCAUUUUCUCUCUCUCUCUAUAUAUAUAUAUAAUCUGCUGUGCUUUAGCAGCAGCAGCACCAACAAACCCAGAACUCUUCAGACACUGUUCAUUCACAGACAACAGUUUUAGAGCUUUCCCUAGACAUUCAGAUAGUUGUGGUCGUGGCCCUAGUUAAAGCAACAAGACAAGUCUCGUGCCUCCUUAUUCCAGGUGUGGGAGCAAUUAUCAUGGCAUCCCAGUGGCAGCUGGCAAAAUGGAUCACUAGUGGGAAGUACUGACCCACACAGAGCAGUCUAGGGCAGAGGGGCUUUUCUGUCUUACUAAAGCUAUUGGGAGGCAUAGGUGAAGGCAACGGAGGGUCCUUCAGUCAGCAUGGUGGAAGUGUGUGCUUGCUGAUUGGCUAGCAGCCCCAGGUGUGGGCAUGGGAUGAUGACAUCAACAAAGGUGGGCAGCCAACUAGCAACCAUUCACCUGCAUAGUGCUGAGGCAUGCCUUGCCUCCACCAAGGUCUCCUAAUCUUUUUCAAUGAGGGCAAGAAUUUGCAUCCUUCCUCAGUGACCCAAAAGCAGCAGCUGAUGGUCCUACUGGGAAACUGCUUCACUGCCCUUGACAGCAAAGAUCCUAAAUUAUUAACUGUUCAUAAAAAUUAUGAACUGCUGGCAAGCCUUCCAAUAAGUAUUCCAAUGGUACUUACAAGAGCCCUCCUUGGUAGACCAUUAUUCUCUCUCUCUCUCUCUCUCUCUCUCUCUCUCUCUGUCUCAUAAGUUAUGGAGAGGAGACAGAGACCUGAGAGAUUUUUCUUUCCUUUUCAAAAUUAAUUUCUAUCCCGCUUCUCCAUACGCUCAAGGAAGCUUGUAACAUUAAAACCACACAUCCAUAAAACCAUAAAAACAACAAUAAAAGUCAUAUUAUCAUCUCAAAACAGAGCACUAGAGCAGGCAUGAUAAAAUCUAUCAGCAUUACCUUGGGUAACCUCAUGUGCUCUCCUGAAAAUGCUGGUCUUGCACAUCUUCUGAACGAUGAAAAACAAAGCGCCAAUGCUUAUCUGUUAGGGCUCUGCUGAUAAGUUCUCCCACUUUUAAAAAAGAGUCUCCAACAAUUAAUGAGAAAAGACAUUGCAUUUGGAAAUUAUCAAGGGAGACAGACAACUAAGGUGAAAUUUGCAUGGGUGAGGCUGUGGCAUGUGGUGUUUUGAGAUGUCUAGGAGGACCCUUCUUUCAUUCUACAAACCAGUACUCUACAGCCUUUCUUUUGCCUCUGCUUCUUGAAAACUACUCUAGGUCCUUGGCUGAACUCUCUUAUAAACAAGGGAAGGUGAGGAAUGUGUCUGCUGUGUUCCUAAAUGGAAGUACUACCCUUAAAAACAAACAGUGCGGAUGCACUGAUCUGUCAAAUUUCAGUUCUCUCGGUUUCUAAUUUUUAUUUAUUUAAUGCAUUGGUAUCCCAAGUGGGGCUUUGAACCCUGGUCUCCCUGGUCCUAGUUGGACGCUAACCACUGCACCACACUGGCUCUCUCCAAUCUCGCCGAGAUUUUUCAAACCUUAAAUUUGGUUCUCCAUAUUUCUGCAGCAAUUUGCAUUUUUAAAAACUGCUCAUGAAUAUCCUUCAGCAUUUUAGUGCACGUUUCUCCUAAUAAACAUAUUUUUGUAUGCAGUUUUAUGGAAGAAAAAUCUGCAUGUGAAUUUUAUUGGACCCAGAAAACAACAGGCAACCAGUGUUGUUUUAAGAUGGAAAAUGAUGUUAAUACAGUUAAAGCAGUAUCAUACCACUUUAAACAGUCACAGAACUAUAAUUUGCAGAGUUCCUUGGAAAGAGGAAUUGACUGUUAAACCAUUCUGAGAACUGUAGCUCUGGGAGGAGAAUACAGAUCUUCUAACAGCUCUCAGCUCCCUUAACAAAUGGCAAUUCCCAGGAUUCUUUGAGGGAAGCCAGGACUGUUCUUUAAAUGUAUAGUGUAGAUGGGGCCCACACGUAGUCAGCUGUACUGCUCUCAUAAGCACUCUGGCUGCUGCAUAAUUGCAAUUUUUGCACCAUCUUCAAGAGCAGCCCCACAUAGUGUGUGUGUUACAGAGUGGUAUUCUUCUGGAAUCCAAGCCAGCAUAAUAGCUAUCACUUGGUGGCAUUGGGAUUCGGUCUGGUGUAUCAAGGAGCAGGGCUUUGUCUGCCCCUGCCUUCCCCCAGCCAGAGGGAGCAGCAGGACUGUGCUAUUGUGCUGCCUGACCAGAGUUAGUCCUACUGCAAUCUCUGGAGUUUAGGAUUGCAGUAAAUGUUUCUAGGCUGCCCACUUCCUGGGAAGAAGUCCUACUGAACAUCAUCUGAUUUAAUUCCAAAUAAAUGUCCAUAGGAUUCUGCUGUUAGACUGCAAUCCUGUGCACAUUUAUGUGGAAGCAGUGCUUUUUUCUAAAAAAAAGUUUGACUCCAGAAAAUCACCAUUUUAUAGUUCUAAUUGGGAAAAAUAAAUACAGUAAAUGGACAAAAGUACAAAGAUUCACAAAAUGUUUAGGGGGGUGUGUAACCCCCCCCCCGGAAAAAAGCACUGUUGUAGGCUUUACCUCCCACCUAAAUACACACAGGAUUGUGUAACUAAUAUUGUCUCUCUUCACAGGGAUCCUGCUUCUCCAGUUACCCCAUAAAUUCUAGACCCAGCGUAUAACCAUUACCACUGAAUACUGGAUGUUUGUGUGUGUGUCUGAUUUUGAUAACCCUCAAUCAGGGGUGCUUUGAAACCAACUUCUUCUCGUAUCCCUGCAUUUGAAAUUAAAGAAGAGAGGAUUAAUUUCUGACAGAUACAAUUGUAUUUUGGCAGUGCUCACAGGCCAGUCGCCUGCUAUCUGGCUCCAUGCCCUGGUGAGUCGUAAUUCCGUUCAUAUCACCUUAUGAGCCGCAGUAAAUUACCCAAAUGCAUCAAUGACCAUCAUCAGCUUUGCAGUGGCUCUGUUGGAGGACUCAGGGAAGAAUGCCAGCCCCCCUCCCCUCUGCAAGUGCUUGAGUGUUUGGAAAGCAGGAGGGAGAAGUGGCUGAUGGAUUUUGCAGAGGAAAUCACUGCACUUAAUUUUCCAAAGAAACCACCUUACUUUCCAAAUGUCAUUUUCAAAUGUCAGAAUGCCUUGUCCUAAAUCUCUUCUUCUUCUUCUUCUUCUUCUUCUUCUUCUUCUUCUUCUUCUUCUUCUCCUCCUCCUCCUCCUCCUCCUUUGGCGAUCACUCAUAGCCGAGUAAGUCUGUCUUCCAUAAACACGGUUUUAACAAUGAGUCCGUAAGUGACUGGAGGCCAAUUCUGGAUCCACAUGUCCUUCCACAGUGGGGACAUUGGUUUCCAGGUGGGAGUUGAUGACAGUGUGGAUUUGCCAAGCGUGCCUUCCUCUUAGCAAGUUUGAGUCCUGAGUUAGAGUGUCUUCAAAGCCCAUGACACCUUUGGUAAAGACUGUUCUCCAAUUGGAGCGUUCGCAGGCAAGUGUUUCCCAAUUGUUGGUGUUUAUACUACCUUUUUUUAGAUUUGUCUUCAGAGAGUCUUUGAACCUCUUUUGUUGACCACCAGCAUUACGCUUUCCAUUUUUAAGUUCGGAAUAGAGUAGUUGCUUUGGAAGACGAUCAUCAGACAUCCGCAAAACAUGACUAGUUCAGCGAAGUUGAUGUUGAAGAAUCAUUGCUUCAACACUGGUGAUCUUUGCUUCUUCCAGUACCCUGGCAUUAGUUUGCCUGGCUUCCUAAGUGAUGUGUGAAAUUUUUCGGAGACACCAUUGAUACAAUCUUUCGAGGAGGUGGAGAUGGCAUUCAGAAGUGGUCCACAUUUCACAAGCAUACAGUAAGGUUGGUAGUACAAUAGCUUUGUAAACAAGCAUUUUGGUUUCCCUGCGAAUGUCCCGGUCCUCAAACACUCUGCACUUCAGUUGGGAGAAAGCUGCACUCGCAGAGCUCAGGCAAUGCUGGAUUUUGGCAUCAGUGUUGGCCCUUGUGGAAAGAUAAUUGCCCAGGUAGGAGAAGUGAUCAACACUUUCCAACAUUACACCAUUGAGUUGGAUUUGUGGCACUGCAGAGGGGUUAUUUUGUACUUGUUGGUGUAGCACUUUGGUUUUUGGGAUGUUGAUUGAUAGGCCAAGCUUUUUGUAAGCUUCUGCGAAGAUAUUUAGGAUGGUUUGGAGGUCAUCCUCUGAGCGUGCACACACUACGUUGUCAUCAGCAUACUAAAAUGAUGGUGAUGAUGGUGAUGAUGGUGCAGUUGCAGGAGGGGUGACACCCAUGAUGGAAUUGCAGUUGCCAAGCAAAUUAAAAACAAAUGUUCCUGCAAGGGAGUCAACUCCCAUCAUUCCUGACCAUUGCUCUUGCUGGCUGGGGCAGAUGGGAUUUGUGUUUUUUUGUUUUGUUUUGUUUUGUUUUGUUUUGUUUUUUUCAAAUGCUUUUAUUAACUUAUACCAACACCAACACAGACAUCACUCACAAUACAAACUUACAAAAAGAUAUAACUACACAUGUAGAACAAAUGAUACACAUACAUCCCUAUUUCAAUUCUUAUUCAUUUCUAUUUGACUUCCUUCCCCCUCAGCGCGGGUCUGGUUCUAUACUGGAGAAGAGGAGGUUAAGGGGUGAUAUGAUAGCCAUGUUCAAAUAUAUAAAAGGAUGUCACAUAGAGGAGGGAGAAAGGUUGUUUUCUGCUGCUCCAGAGAAGCGGACACGGAGCAAUGGAUCCAAACUACAAGAAAGAAGAUUCCACCUAAACAUUAGGAAGAACUUCCUGACAGUAAGAGCUGUUUGACAGUGGAAUUUGCUGCCAAGGAGUGUGGUGGAGUCUCCUUCUUUGGAGGUCUUUAAGCAGAGGCUUGACAACCAUAUGUCAGGAGUGCUCUGAUGGUGUUUCCUGCUUGGCAGGGGGUUGGACUCGAUGGCCCUUGUGGUCUCUUCCAACUCUAUGAUUCUAUGACGUAAUAAACUGUUUCUUCCUCAACUCCUCUUCUUGGGGGUGGAUGGGAUUUGGAGUCCAGCUGCAACUAAAGGGCCACAUCUACCCCACCCCUGGACAUUUGCCCAUCCCUUGUGGAUCCUCCCAAGUGUCCAACCUUUGAACAGAGGCAGAUUUAGGGGAGCACAACAAGUUUGCCUGCACUGGGCACAGAACUGAGAGGAUCCCACAAGGAGCACUGCAACAAUGACAAACAACAGAAGGUGAGAAGCGGGAGGGGGCACCGGAUUUUGGCGUCGCACAGGGCACCACUGAAAUUUGAAAGCCCAAACAAGUGCUGUGAGAGAUUCUUCUUUCUCUUGCAAUGCAUUGGUUAUGCUUCCCCAACAACCAUCCAUCUUGCCCAUCCUUGCAAAAAGCUCCAUUUUUCCAUUCCCAAGUUGGGACAAAACAAAAACAAAAAACAAGCAUCCUUCCAACCCAGGAAUGAAGCUUUGACAUAUUCUGUGUGUGCACAACCAGGAGAAAGCAAACUCUCAAUGUAUGCAGAACGAGGCUGCAGCAGCAUCCAAUGAGACAGAGAUUCUUUCUGUGUUCCAACCAUACUGAAAACAUCUUCAUCUUUCUCAUCUGACUGGCCUCUGCUUCCACAGUGAUUGAUGCCAUCGCCAAGCCUCCAAACCCUGCCGGGAGGAUUUUGCUCUCCCACACCCCAAUUGUUCUAUUCCUCCAGAACUCUCUCUCUCCCACCCCACCCCACCCCACCCUGCUCUCUCUCUCUCUCUCUCUCUCUCUCCCCUUCUCUUUUCCUCUCCAUCCUGCCUCCCUACCACCCAUUCUGGGACACUGAGUGAAUCACCAGUUCUCCUCCCGUUAUCUCAGAUUCUUUGCACACACCCUAACGAGCCAGAAAUGAGCCCCAAUUAUGCCAGGUGAGCUGUCUGAGAGGCAGGCAAGGAACACCAUGUAUCAUUCCCACUGACUUAUUGCACAUGUACAAUUGUCCGAUUACCUUGUUCCUUUUUCUCUUGGAAGCCUAAUAUGAUAAAACAAUAAAUAUUAGAGGGAGGGAAGGGAGUUAUGUAAGCCAGAAGAUUUUAAAUCUUUGGGAAUCGGGUAAUGCACUGCACCAUUCAUUCAUUUAUCCACUCACCCUGCUGUGUCCUGGCUGAAAGGAGUCUUACUGUUACUAGCCAGUCAGGGUAGCAACUCCGUGACAUUCUCAGUGGGGCAUGGAUUCCCCCUCUUGUUUAUGAUGCCACUAAGCCAUCUUGCCUUGCCUCAAUCUUGAUGGCUGCUGAGUGAUCGGGCGGGGGGGGGGGAGUUAGUACACCCAAUCUGGAAUAUGCAUAGCAUAUCUGUGAGCAUUAGCUACAUUGUUUACUACCACUGCAUGAGAGUCACCAGCUUCUGCUUCUCACCUCUGAUCAAUAAACCACUGCACCAUUGACAGCAUCUGCAGAGCAUCCCACACCUGCCUUGGGGAGCAACGCAAAUCCCAUUUACGAUGGAAACUUAUUAGGCUGUUCACAGCCAGCCACAAUUCCCUCCAAGGCCCACCAGAUAAUUCAGUUUACCCUGAAAGUGGAGCCUAUGUGAUAAUUGGUGAUUAUGGCAAGCAAGUGGUUAAAAGCAUUAUGGAAUAGCCAGCUUUUAAAAUAGACCCAAAUGAAGAAAAACACCUGUAUGAAUUGCAUCGUUCUUGCUAGCGGUAAUAAGACCAUGGCUGGGGCAGCAAUCUUCAUUAGUCCCUAAUAUUGUUCCCCAAGCUUCUUUCCCGCUGCUCAGAACCAUGAUGCUUCCUGCUUGUCUUUUUGUUGUUGUUGUUGUUUAGUCAUUUAGUCCUGUCCGACUCUUCGUGACCCCAUGGACCAGAGUACGCCAAGCACUCCUGUCUUCCACUGCCUCCCGCAGUUUGGUCAAACUCAUGCUGGUAGCUUCGAGAACACUGUCCAACCAUCUCGUCCUCUGUCGUCCCCUUCUCCUAGUGCGCUCCAUCUUUCCCAACAUCAGGGGCUUUUUCAGGGAGUCUUCUCUUCUCAUGAGGUGGCCAAAGUAUUGGAGCCUCAGCUUCAGGAUCUGUCCUUCCAGUGAGCGCUCAGGGCUGAUUUCCUUCAGAAUGAAUAGGUUUGAUCUUCUUGCAGUCCAUGGGACUCUCAAGAGUCUCCUCCAGCACCAUAAUUCAAAAGCAUCAAUUCCCUUAAAAUACACAUAUUCCACCAAUUGUUGGCAGGGACCAUAAUUCAGAGAGAGAGCACAAGCUUUGUAUUCAGUUGGGCCCAAGUUCACUCCUUGCAGGAUAGGCCCAUCCCCAUGGGGUCUUUCAAUUAAGUCAUAAAGAGUAGGUUAUUUAUUCUGAAUCAAACUGGCACUUAAUAGCAGAAGCACCAGGCUGAGGGGGUCAACUGACAUGAUCAUCCAGACUCUGAUGGUUGGAAAGCAGUCCAGAAGAGGGGACAGCCUUCAUCCAUUGAUCACCCCUUCUCCUAACCUGGCAUGGCCAGCCCCCGUCGCCAUACCUCCCUCAGCACCUCACUACUUAAAGGGCAGCUCCUUCCUCGUCUUCUCUAUGUCUCUCUCUCUCUCUCCUUGCUCCCCACCAUUCCAUCACCCAAACACAUCACAUACCCUUGUCAGCAGAAGAUCUUCAAAGCAGGGCACUAGAUUAAAUGUGCUCACAGUCUGAAUGUACUAAUAACAGGAAUACAAGUAUCAAAACAUGAACACUCAAAUACAAAAUGAUAGUAAAGUUGGAUUAUAUUAAAUAAUGGACAUAACUUGAGCCAAACUGGUUCUUAAAUGUGCCUAUUUAGAUCUUAACAAAGUGAUUUUAUGAAGUCAAGGCUUCUCCACAACAAUCCAGUUCCUCAUCUUCCCUCCUCAUGGAUGAUGAUAGAACAUACACAGAGCCCCCUCUCUUACAUCAGGCUCACCCCCUCCCUUCCUGUCCUUUGCCUCCCACCCAAAGGACCUCAGUUUUCUAUUGACCUCUACCCUCACCAUUGGAUCUCACCUUAGCCUAACGCAACCCCAGACUAUAUCUUCUCCAGAGGCUGACCCUCAGGCCCUGCUAAAGGAUUGAAACGUUUGCUAAUUUAUAAGUAUAAUGUCCCUGGGAAAUUACAGUGAUGGGGGCGGGUCUAACUAGCACUGUGCUUUGCAUAAACUGUUGAGGCCAAAUACCUGGACGCUCAUCUUCCCAGCCACACUCCCGUGAGAGUCACAUGAUCUCAUGUGUUUAUUGGCACUGUGCUGAGAGCACAGCACCCUAAAACGGGAUGUUCCAACUUGAGACAGUUGAAGGCUAUGGCUUGGCAGUGCACCCAAUUGCCCUUUAAGAGGAGGAGGAGUAGAAAUUGCUUAAAAAGAAGGAAAAGCAGGAGAUCUGGGGCACACUCCAAAAGAUAGAGUGUUUGCCCCUGCUUCAGCUGCACCCCAUCAGCAUUUUAGGAGUUAUCCCACACCAGCUGAGUAGCCAAAAUUUAUGUGAUUUUGGGUGGAUUUCUCUGCUUGUACCAUGUGGUGCAUUCUUCUGCCGUCACCCACCCUCUGCAUCCAUCCAUCCAUCCAUCCAUCCCCAAACUCUCACCAACCUGUGACAACCCCAAAUAGCAAAAGAAAAUGAAAUUGUAGCUGUUUUAUGCCUCCGCCUUGCUGCUUGUCUUUCUACCCCCUCUCUGCCUUGAUUGUUUGGCGAAUAGUUCGGGGACCCCAUCUGCUCAGCAUUCAAUCCUUGUCGUGGGCUGUCAGGCGUAGGAGAGUGUUUGGGGGACAAGUUAUAAAUUGAAUGCAUUUCAAUCUACAGGUGAGGGAAAGCAAUAGCUGAGGUCUCCAGCGAAUGGAGGAAUUAUGGCCAGUAAGCACAUAUUGCAAUAUACGGCCAAAAUAAUUUCUAGCUAACUUCUAGCUUUAAUAACUAGGUUAUUAAAGCUGCCUGUCCACAGAAAGAGGCACUGUCCUCUGCUCUUUGAUGAUUGUCCCUACAAUUGGUACAAAAGCCCCUAAGACUAGGCUGGGGGCCUCCAAGUCUAUUUUACCAAGCUUGAACCAGCACCUUGGUGGGAAGGCUCUAAGCACUAGGCCUCACUCUCCCACACACCUCUAUAUACAAUCUCUCUCCCAAUUGCAGCUGGCAUUGGCCAAGAAUCAUAAGCUGCAAUGGCCCAGUGGGAAGGGGGCUUCCCUCCAUUAAGCAGGGACGCAAGGCUGUAAUAUCUGUAGCACUUCAACUUAAUUGGGCUGAAAAUGAAGAAAAAAGAGCAAGCCCGAUGAAGCUGUCAAUCUCACUGAAUUAAGACACAGAACAGUCUUCCCCACUCCCCUUUCUUCCCCCUGCUGAACAGUCUGCAAUUUAAAAUGUAAGAGACAAGCAGUAUAAAAAAUUCCAAAAAAUCAAGGGCUCUGACAGGGGUUAUGCCUACCUGUCCUCCAGGUUCUGGUCCUCCUGUGUGUGUGUGUGCGCGCGCGCAUGUGCAUGCAUCCAUGUGCAUGCAUGUAUAGGCCAGAAGCUUCUUAUGAGAAGCUUCUUAUGAGCAAAGUUGAGAUUUUUGAAAUCCAAACCAGACAGUAGCAGCAUCUUUACUCUGUCUGCAUGUUCAAAGCAUGCUCAAUCCAAUGCAUAGACAUGAGCAUCAAGCCACGGACUGUGUCUGCUUAGGAACAAAAGAAGUUGAUUACACUAACUUUGACCCUUGGUCCAUCUUGCUCGGUAUUGUCCAUCUAUCCAUCCAUCCAUCCCCAAACCACCACCAACCUGUGACAACUGCGAAUAGCAAAAGAAAAUGAAAUUGUAGCUGCUUUAUCCCUCCGUCUUGUGGCUUGUGGACAACAAUUCUCAUCAUUGCCAACUGGGGCUGAUAGGAGUUGUAAGUCCAAAACAUCGGGAGGCUACCAAGUUGGCGAUGGCUGGUCUGCUCUUCUCACAGACUGGCCGUGGCUCUCCAGUACUCCAGACAGGAUGUGUGCCCAGUCCCACCUGUAGAGGCCAGGGAUUGCACCUGCACACAAAGCAUGUGCUCUGCCAUGGAACUAUGCCCCCUCUCCCACUGAAGGAAGCUUGGUUCCAGGGCCCCAAUUCAUAGUUGCAGAUUACACAUGAGUAGUUCCUCCAUAGCUGCCUUCUCUGUUGAGCCAAGGGCUUUGUGAUUAGAGCCACAUACCCACAAGGGGGCAGCUGCAGCUGCAGCAGAGAUGGCUCUCAUGCUGGCUUUCCUGUGCAACCCGGUUCUGUUUGGGGCUCCACCACUAGCCCAACCCCAUCCAGCUCCCAUAACUUUUGAAAUCAAAAGUUGACAGUCCUACACUCCUGCCAGUUGAAGCAGGACUUUCCAAUCUCCCCCCACCCAGCCCACCUCCCUUAUAGGGCCGAAAAGGGACUUUGAUAACCCUAACCUUAGCCUAUCCUGCUAGAGUCAGUGGGAAAGAAUUUCAGCCUUUCUCUUCUGUAGAAAACUAGCAAGUUUCUACCUGCCAUGCUUGUUUUCUACAUUCCGGUGCUUAUUUUACAAGGAAGCAGAAUUAAGAAAUUUGUACUCACUUGCUUGAAUUUGAUGUGGUCCAAUAAGAGCUGUCCCAUGUGAGCAGGAAGGAGGGGGAGAGAUGUCCCAAUGGGAGUUUUUUUCUAACCCUAAUUGCGGGGGGGGGGGAUUUUUGACAGGAGCAUGGUGGGAAAUCAGGGACGCUGUCCACUUUUGCCUGGGUAACAGAUCCCUUAAAAAUGUUCUGGGUUUUCCUGUAACCCACCAGAGCAAAUUUAGGAAGAGGGAGAGAGGGGAAGAGUCAUUGUUCAGUCCAAAGUGCUUCUGCUAGUGAAACUGCUUUGCUGGAUUUGUAAGGACAUGUUCAGCUUCACAUCCAGUUUGACCCUUAAAGUGCACAAAGGAAAGUUUGGGGGAGCCACACCCUUUUUGCAGAAAUCAUUUGCUUGAUGUUGUGUACCUAGCAGCUAGUGCCAUGCAGAUCUUUUGAAACUUUGAGUCCUUGGGAUUGGUGCUCUGCAGCAACUGCAGCUGAAUUAUUUUUCUUCUGCAUUAGGAUUCACAUCUGAUCAAAGCUAGCUUGAUGAGUAGCACUCAUUUCCACACAGAGAAAUGUUGCACAAGUACACAAAUGGUGUGCAUAGACUUGACAUUUGGGGCACAGAUAUGUGGAUGAUCAUUGUCAGGCUUGUUAAAACAUUGUGGGCUACUACCAUGAGACUAAGGACCAAUGCUAGUUUAGUACAGAACUAUGAAUGUUGGGUUGUCUUCUGUUUUUCAGGUGUCCAAAAAUAUUUUCAGGUCCCUGAGUUCUGGUGCUGAGGAUAUCACUGAACUAGAUAUGAGAUUAUCUAUAAGCUAGACCAAGUUCAAGUUCAUAAGCUUAUUGUUCUAGCCAAAGGCCAUGACAAAUUUGUGUUAGGCAAUAGUAUUAAUAAAAUAAUACAUAGCGUUCAUCCAUAAUAUAAAAAUCCUUAAUAUAAAAAUGACUUUGCCAAGUUCCUGAGCGUUAAAACACAGUUUCCCUUGUGCAUCUCUGACAGCUCCAAUCUUAAUGUUAGUUUACUUUUUAAAAAUCCAAUUUGAGAAGCUAGACCAAGAAAGAGGUGAUGACUGAGCAUGGAGCUGGGGGAAUGGCAAAGGUUAGGGGAUAUUGCAUUUGAUGUUUCUAAUCUGGGGGCUAUGUUUGUGAUCUGGAGGGCUGCCCAGCAGAUUAGCGCAUGCGGGCCUCUAUCGAUCCAUGUCAGACAGACACGCUGUUCUGGCAGCAGAUGAGCAGGGGACGAGGUGCUUUAUUUUUAUCAAUGCAAGAAGAGUGGCAUAAGCCAGCGACAGAUGAAAUGGGCUUUUCACACAUUUCUGACUAACCUUGGAACCCUUCACAAGGUUUCAGUGAUUGAGGAGGUCAGCACAACCUCAUAUUUUGCAGAUUGCACCCCGGGGCAAUGAUGUGCUUGGAAGAACGUGUGCCAUCCUUACCUUCCCCAGGAUUUGUCUCCAACCUGAAAGCUUUGUCUCCUCCUACAUGUGCCCCCAUAGCAAUGGCACCAACACAGCUUGGGGAGGGGGCUCAUCCACACUUCCCUUGGCCCCGUGAGUUGCAUGCCCAGGCACAGGAAGCACGCAGUGCAGUAUGAGGCUGACCGGGGUGAAAUGAGACACAGGAUACCAGGCCUGGGUUGAAAUAAGCACAGCUUUUAUUAAUUAGAGGUGUAAGUAGGUUUCGACUAAUGCAUUUGGGUAUGUAUCUGGGAUCAAGCAGCCUGCUUACUGGUUGAUCAAAGGGUGAUGGGUCAACCCUGGGUGGAGGGAUGCCCCCUGAUGUGUACCAAGUUGACAAUCCUGCCAAGGCCACCACUCAGAAGGGAUGCUAUGGCCCAUUGGGCCCCAUGUUUGCUCCUCGACAACAAUACUCCUUCCUGGACUCCUUUAAUGGGCUAUACUAACCCAACCCAAUGCUUUUUCCACCAGAGUUGUGACAUCUGUUAUGAGGCAGGCGAAAACCCACAGAGGGGGAAAUUUUUCUGUGGGGAGAAUUCCUCCCUGGUCCUCAGUACAGUGACCAAAUAUUCCAUAGCAAGGUCCACACACUGACCUUGGACAGGACCACAGGUCGGGAGGGUGAGGAAUCCUGGUGUGGCUUCACUUUAUAGGGACUAGGCAGACCCAGUUGACACACACCCAGCUGUCUUCUGGUUGGCCCAUUUAAAUGAGCCUUUCAUGCCAAUUCCAGAGGGAGAAGAUAGCUCCCACCCCAUGCCCAUGCCACGGCCUGCCAGGCAGCAAAUGGCCAUUUCACUGGAGCCCCAGGUCAACGGCCAUGCUUUCAUUUCCUAUCAUUUCUCUUGUGUCCUUCCACUUCCCCUGGGAAAACCUGCUGAUUACUGCUGAAUCAGAACACAGGUCACUCCAUAGAAAACCCAAUAGAUGUUUGUUCCAAUGCAGCAGUAAACAGAGUGUUUCCCUAGGGAAGGUGGCAGAGCAAAAGAAAACCUCCCAGACCUGUACCUGAAAAUCACAGGACAAACAGGCAGUUCUGUUUAGGGAAGUUUUUAAUGACUGAGGUUUUAAUGUAUUUUUAAUCUUUUGUUGGAAGCCGCCCGGAGUGGGGUAUAAAUAAAUUAUUAUUAUUAUUAUUAUUAUUAUUAUUAUUAUUAUUAUACUUGUCCUGGGUUAAAACUGUGCUUGUGGAAUUGGGAGAAGACCCAUCUACUGCCAAAAAGUUCACAUUUGGGUUUGAGGACCAAGCCUUUCUAACUGCCUAAAACUGAGACUCAUAUUUAGAUCUUAGCCCACACCAUCUGCCAUAACCACCACGUCUUUGCCAUCCUCUGAGGCCCUUCUUCAUGUGUCCCCUCCAUGACACGUCUGGAGGGUAGCAACAUAAGAACGAGCCUUUUCUGUGGUGACUCCCCAUUUGUGAAAUAAUCUCUCUAAGGAGGCUUGACUGGUGCCUUCGUUACAUCUCUGUAGGCGCCAGGCAAAAAGUUUCUCUAUAACCAGACCUUUGACUGAUCAAACAAUCUAUGGCCUUUAAAAUGUGUUUCUAGAAGGGGGAAGCGUAUUGGUUUGGUUGUUUUUGUUGUCAUUUGCUGUGUAUUUUGUGUUCUCACUUUGUAUUUUUAUGUCAUGGACCACCCUGUGAUCUUCAGAGGGAAGUAUAAAAAAAUAAUAAUAAUAUUUGGUUGGCAUCUGUCGGUCAUGGGAAACAAUGUAAGAGUAAAAAUAAAAAUAAUAGUUUCUCUGCCCACUCUUCCCUGGGACUAGGAAUGAGGAGCCUGUAGCCCUCCAGAUUGGUCUCGAAGAGAUCUGAGGAAGCUGUGGGAGCAGCGAGAGAGAAGAAGCAGAGAAAGCAGAUGCAGGAGCAAGGAGAAUGCCAACAUGGACUCUGAUCGAUGGAAAUACUGCCAUUUAGCCAGCAACAGUUAACUG
Molecule: long non-coding RNA, 15243 nt
Filed under: Podarcis lilfordi (Lilford's wall lizard)
Lineage: Eukaryota; Metazoa; Chordata; Lepidosauria; Squamata; Lacertidae
Source: RNAcentral